This 3580-nucleotide unclassified non-coding RNA is filed under the name Leishmania donovani. Its description in RNAcentral is "gene:LdHU3.35.4960(CDS-product:Cullin_family_puta tive)". Lineage: Eukaryota; Euglenozoa; Kinetoplastea; Trypanosomatida; Trypanosomatidae. The record is from RNAcentral.
CUGCUGUAAAGGACUCUUAUCUCCAUCGGUCGCAUAUCGUCGCCGCAUCUUUACCGCUGCGCUUUUUUUUUCACUGUUUCGGGCACACCGCAGUAGAUGUAAAUACACCGCUCUGCUCUUUUUGCAGUGUUCAUAUACUCACUGCCGUCACUCUGGGGACAGCUGUGCUGAGCCAAUCGUGGUGCAGUCUCACUCACUGAUAGAGUUCCACCUUGCGACACACUCGUCUUAGACACAAGACGAGGUGUUGUUUGUUGGCGACUGCGUUCGGUCACCUCGCCGCUUCUCUUCUCCCCCCCCCUUCUCCACCUUAACAGGCUCUCGUGUGACUGGAAGGGCAUUUGACAAUGGGGAUAGCGGCACACUCGACAGACAGCGCACAUUUUCUUUAUUCAUAUCGAUAGACGCACACGUCUCCGCACGUGCACAGCCUUUUGCUUGUAAGCACUCUACUUGCGUUUCGAGGUGGUCCUCUGUGGGCAUCGCCUGGAGGAGUAGUCCUCCUCUCAUUCAGUAGUCUUUCGGCUGUAUUGGCGGCGCUGCAAUGAGCUGCGCCAGCGCGUCCGUCAGAUCAGGGCAAGAUGCGUUGCCGGUCGCAGGGCCUUCAGCACCGUCAACAAUGAUGCCAUAUCUGCACAGCAUUAACGAGGACGGCGCCAUGCGCAUUCUUGCAGAGAUGCUAGACGCGCUUGACACUCACGGUCUUGCUCUUUUCUCGGAGUCCGGUCACGGGGCGGCGUGGCCGCUGUCGUCGCCGACGACUUGGUCUUCAGCUCUCGCUGUGCUCGCUACUAGUGCGCCGCUCAACGCCAUGGUCGCUGACACCCUACUGGAGCGUGUGAGUGCUGCCUUGUCGGUCGAGAUCGGUGUUUACCAGUCAGCCGUCCUGUGCUGUAGUGGCCCACUCUCCACCGAGGUAGCGCUUCCGGCGCUUGAGAGACUUGGCGAGGUGUACCGCCAAGUGCAUUCACAUCUGCUGCGCUGGUGCUCGGCACUGCAUACACCAGGGGUUGCUGCGCUCCUUGCUGUCCGACUUCGCUGUGCGUUGCUGCAGACAGACUUGGUGACCGGCGAAGAACCUCCAGGAAGGCAGGCACUCUUUACUUUUCUUCGGUGGCACGGUCGGUUCGUCCUGGCGACGCAGCGGAAAGCGGCAGGUGAUGGAGAUGAGGAGGAAGCGCGCGGCUCAGAGUGCGACGGGACUUUGGGAGAAGCAGGUGACGCUAGCGAGAGCGCCUUGGCACCUGCAUCCGCUUCGCCGGCGCCGGAUUCUUUAAUGGCGUGCCUGCACCGGCUAGCUCUAAACCGGUCGGCAGAAGUGAAACAGUUAUGGAGGUCUGUAUUAGAAGACGGCAUUCGCGACCGACUGAGUGACCUCUCUGAUGACUUCUCGACUCGUAUUUUGCACAAACACUUGUCAUGGCUGGAGCACUCGGUCGUGCCGUUUGUGCGGAUGGUGUUGCCUGACAGCGACGGGGAGUCGGAUCCUUUGUGUCGCAGCAGCGGCAACCUCAGCGACGGGACCUCUACGAAUCGCCGCUGUGGGGACGUGGGAAUGACGUCAGAAGGCUGUCAUACGGUGCCGAGACGCGCGCAGGAAGGCGACGCGUGCCCUUCAUCACAGACGAACGAGGCGGUGCGAGCGGAGCGGGAGGCAUGGUGUGCCGACUUGCGACUGCUGCUGCUGCACACCUACGCUCGCAGGCGCCUUGACGGCUUUUGGGAGAUCCUCUCGGACUACCCCGACUCUGUUCCAGCUCUCGAGGACAUGCGCUACUGCCUGCAGUCGACCCCGGAAAGCGGCCUCAAGACAGAGCUGGUGCAGACUGUGCGCCAUAUGCUCUCUUCGCGCCUCCACCGCGCCGGCACACGCACCGACGACAUUUUGGCCAUUCUCAUCAACACCAUUCACGCCUUCUGCAUAUUGUUUCCACGAAAUGAGCAGAGCAGCGUCGUCUUCUCCGUCACCUCCGACACCCUGGAGCACCUGCGGCGGCGCAAGGACUGUGUGCCAGCGGUGGUGCAGGCGGUGAUGCAGCCCGGUGGCGCCAUGAACGUUGCACCACCACCGCUGACCCAGGCUGCAUCCGAGGGCCUUGCCGGCAGCCUGGACUUCGACGGCGAUGCAGGCAGCAAAGAAGGGGAGCUGCAUCGCGCAGCUUCUCGAGGAAGACCGGAUGUGGUGCGCGUGCUGCUCACGUCGAUUCCUCGCCGUGCAUUGGUGGAUGAGUACCAGCAGAUGCUGGCGGAGCAGCUUCUGCAGAAGCCCAUGCACCAGUUUGAUACAACACCAGAGGAGGAGGUGCUCGAGCGGCUGCGGCACGUGUUCGGCGAGACGGCACUCGAUCGGUGCGCAGUAAUGAUGCGAGACAUGCAGAUGUCCCGGCGUAUCUCGCAGCAGCUGCGCGAGCAGCUGGGUCCUCGCCGCACGGACUGCUUGCCACAGUUGGGACCCACUGCUGCCUCCGCCACUGCUGUGUCUCCCGCUGCAAGCGUCUCGGUUCUGUCGAUGACAGCGUGGCCUCCACUUGUUCGCUGCAGCUCCGCGAACGGCGGCGAUUCUGGUCCUGCUGCGGCGCCACUGAAAUUUUGUCCCCAUCCGGCGCUGCAGGAGGAGAUGGAUACUCUUGCGGAGGCGUACAAGCGGCUCAAGGACAACCAGCGAAUGACCUGGUUGCCGUCCCUCGGCCGUGUUGAACUGGAGCUAAAGCAGAAGGACCCGUCCAAGGGGAACUCACUCGUGGCGGUGCCGCAGAUACUCUCUCUGUUUGACGCAUCGUUCGUCUUGCACGUGAAGGAGAUGACAAGCCGUGGUGGCUCCAGCACGCCGGUGCAUCUAAAGGAGGUGGCGGCCGUAUUGGAGGUACAACUGGAGGAGCUCCGCGCGCAUGCGCAACGACUCUCCCCGGCGGUGCUGAUGUUCCAGCCAGCGACGGACCUGGUCACCAUGCAGCUUAGCGUGGCUGCUUCUGCCGAUUUCGUCUUCAUGGAGGACAGAGAAACCGAUGAGGAAUCCGGGAAGCCGGCAGGACUUCCCCCCGAGCGUGUAAAGCUGAUGGAGCGGAUGGUGACGUCGCUGCUCAAGACACGUGGCGCGCAAUCGAGCACAGCGAUUCACAGCAGUCUCAAGUUGUUGGGCAAGUUCGAAGGGUCAAACGCGGACGUGGUAGAGCUGCUGCGAUCGUUUGUGGGCCGAGGAUUGAUUGUGCUCAACGACGCGAGGCAGUACGCCCUUCCACCCAAGUAAGCGGAACUGACUUCCACGUCUAGAUGUGCUUGCGUACCCACCCCUCUCCCUCUCUCUUUUUUCCAUUAGAGGCCGCCACAGCGGAACUCGUUGCUGAGCCGAAGAAGGCAGGUCUGAGGGUUUGCUACGUGCAUAAGAGAAAAAGGCGUGCAUCGUUCCAGUGUGCGUGUGCAAGUAUGUGCACGGAUGCCAUGAUGACGGAAUGGACGAACACCACAUCUUUCUGUACCUUUUUGUGACACUAAACCCUCUUCCCCUCUUGUGCAUUGGAGCUGCCCCACCAGUUUCUCGUAUUUCAACCCCUCUCACUCUUUGCCUUGUCUUUCUCUCUAG